CCUACGGGCGGCAGCAGUGGGGGAUAUUGCACAAUGGGGGAAACCCUGAUGCAGCGACGCCGCGUGAGUGAAGAAGUAUUUCGGUAUGUAAAGCUCUAUCAGCAGGGAAGAAAAUGACAGUACCUGACCAAGAAGCCCCGGCUAACUACGUGCCAGCAGCCGCGGUAAUCCGUAGGGGGCAAGCGUUAUCCGGAUUUACUGGGUGUAAAGGGAGCGUAGUCGGUUAUGUAAGUCUGGAGUGAAAGCCCGGGGCCCAACCCCGGGACUGCUUUGGAAACUGUGUAACUGGAGUACAGGAGGGGCAGGCGGAAUGCCUGGUGUAGCGGUGAAAUGCGUAGAUAUCAGGAGGAACACCGGCGGCGAAGGCAGCCUGCUGGACUGAAACUGACGUUGAGGCUCGAAAGCGUGGGGAGCGAACAGGAUUAGAUACCCGAGUAGUC
RNAcentral lists this ribosomal RNA (440 nucleotides) under uncultured bacterium. RNAcentral's name for it is "partial 16S ribosomal RNA". It matches the Rfam family "Bacterial small subunit ribosomal RNA", at positions 338 to 795 of the family's 1533-position model. The record is from RNAcentral.